This is a non-coding RNA of Phalacrocorax carbo (great cormorant), 456 nucleotides long. NCBI's taxonomy places the organism in Eukaryota, Metazoa, Chordata, Aves, Suliformes, Phalacrocoracidae. The record is from the annotation of a RefSeq genome assembly.
AUGGGGGGUGAUGGCGGGGGCGGGCGACUCAAUCCUGUCCUUCUUCCCUGCGCAGGGCUGCGGGCGGCCGUGCAGCUGGUCGAGUCCGGAGGGGGCCUCCAGACCCCCGGGGGGUCCCUGACCCUCCUCUGCAAGGCCUGCGGCUUCUCCUUGAGCAGCUACGCCAUGGCUUGGGUGCGACAGGCGCCCGGGAAGGGGCUCGAGUAUGUUGGACGUAUUAGCAGCAGCGGUAGCACAUGGUACCCAUCGUCGUUCAAGGGGCGCUUCACCAUCUCCAGGGACACCUCCCAGAGCACGGUCACGCUGCAGAUGAGCAGCCUGAAGACCGACGACACGGGCACCUCCUGCUGCGCGAGGGAUGGUUAUGGUGGCCCUGACCCCAGCACCGUGCCCCAACACCCCCGCACGGGCUCCCCAAAGCCCAGCAUCCUCCCAAACCCCUGCACCCAGCCCUGA